RNAcentral lists this ribosomal RNA (1243 nucleotides) under Candidatus Phytoplasma solani. RNAcentral describes it as "bacterial SSU rRNA". It matches the Rfam family "Bacterial small subunit ribosomal RNA", at positions 153 to 1399 of the family's 1533-position model. The record is from RNAcentral. Lineage: Bacteria; Bacillati; Mycoplasmatota; Mollicutes; Acholeplasmatales; Acholeplasmataceae.
GAAACGACUGCUAAGACUGGAUAGGAGAUAAGAAGGCAUCUUUUUAUUUUUAAAGACCUAGCAAUAGGUAUGCUUAGGGAAGAGCUUGCGUCACAUUAGUUAGUUGGUGGGGUAAUGGCCUACCAAGACGAUGAUGUGUAGCCGGGCUGAGAGGUCGAACGGCCACAUUGGGACUGAGACACGGCCCAAACUCCUACGGGAGGCAGCAGUAAGGAAUUUUCGGCAAUGGAGGAAACUCUGACCGAGCAAUGCCGCGUGAACGAUGAAGUAUUUCGGUACGUAAAGUUCUUUUAUUAGGGAAGAAAAGAUGGUGGAAAAACCAUUAUGACGGUACCUAAUGAAUAAGCCCCGGCUAACUAUGUGCCAGCAGCCGCGGUAAUACAUAGGGGGCAAGCGUUAUCCGGAAUUAUUGGGCGUAAAGGGUGCGUAGGCGGUUAAAUAAGUUUAUGGUCUAAGUGCAACGCUCAACGUUGUGAUGCUAUAAAAACUGUUUAGCUAGAGUUGGAUAGAGGCAAGUGGAAUUCCGUGUGUAGUGGUAAAAUGCGUAAAUAUACGGAGGAACACCAGAAGCGAAGGCGGCUUGCUGGGUCUUAACUGACGCUGAGGCACGAAAGCGUGGGGAGCAAACAGGAUUAGAUACCCUGGUAGUCCACGCCCUAAACGAUGAGUACUAAACGUUGGAUAAAACCAGUGUUGAAGUUAACACAUUAAGUACUCCGCCUGAGUAGUACGUACGCAAGUAUGAAACUUAAAGGAAUUGACGGGACUCCGCACAAGCGGUGGAUCAUGUUGUUUAAUUCGAAGGUACCCGAAAAACCUCACCAGGUCUUGACAUGCUUUUGCAAAGCUGUAGAAAUACAGUGGAGGUUAUCAGAAGCACAGGUGGUGCAUGGUUGUCGUCAGCUCGUGUCGUGAGAUGUUGGGUUAAGUCCCGCAACGAGCGCAACCCUUGUUGUUAAUUGCCAUCAUUAAGUUGGGGACUUUAGCAAGACUGCCAAUGAUAAAUUGGAGGAAGGUGGGGACGACGUCAAAUCAUCAUGCCCCUUAUGACCUGGGCUACAAACGUGAUACAAUGGCUGUUACAAAGGGUAGCUAAAGCGUAAGCUUCUGGCGAAUCUCAAAAAAGCAGUCUCAGUUCGGAUUGAAGUCUGCAACUCGACUUCAUGAAGUUGGAAUCGCUAGUAAUCGCGAAUCAGCAUGUCGCGGUGAAUACGUUCUCGGGGUUUGUACACACCGCCCGUCA